Molecule: ribosomal RNA, 1890 nt
Filed under: Triticum aestivum (bread wheat)
Lineage: Eukaryota; Viridiplantae; Streptophyta; Magnoliopsida; Poales; Poaceae
Description: partial small subunit ribosomal RNA
Source: RNAcentral
AUGUCCCCCAACCUGGAGGGCACGCUCAAGAGCCAGGUGCCGGCGCUGCUCCUCCGGCGCCUCUUCGGCGCCGGGGCGCGCCGGGAUGAGGCGGCAGCCAAGCAGCACCACGGCCGCCAGGCGCCUUCGCCUUCGCCGCCUGCGCCGGCGGGGAGGCGGCGGGUGUUCGUGCAGACGGAGUCCGGGUGCGUGCUGGGCAUGGACCUGGACCGCGGCGACAACGCGCACACCGUCAAGCGCCGGCUGCAGCUGGCCCUCAACGUGCCCACCGGCGGGACCUCGCUCACCUUCGGCGACCGCGUCCUGGAGAACGACCUCUCCUCCGUCCGCCACGACUCGCCGCUGCUGCUCACCCGCAACAGCAUCCACCGCAGCUGCUCCACCCCGUGCCUCUGCCCGGUCUCCGAGGACUUCGAGCAGAAGGACUGCAGCGGACUGGUUGAGAUACUGGGGUCGUCGAGCGGCAGCGUGAGGCGCCUCGUCGACGACGUGGCCUCCGGCAUAAUGGGCGGGCUGGAUCCGGUCCCCAUUGACAGUGGCCUUGGCGGCUCCUACUACUUCAGGAAUGAUGAGGGCGACAGAGUCGCCAUUGUCAAGCCGACGGAUGAGGAGCCCUUCGCCCCGAACAACCCAAAAGGGUUCACCGGGAGAGCGCUUGGCCAGCCGGGACUGAAGAAGUCCGUCAGGGUAGGGGAGACAGGGUUCAGGGAGGUUGCGGCGUACCUGUUGGACCAUGAAAACUUCGCAAAUGUUCCUGCAACGGCUCUGGUGAAGAUAACACACUCGGUUUUCAAUAUCAAUCGCCCAAUGAACGGCGGCACUCCGGCUCAUGACCAUAAGCCGCAAGUCACCAGUAAGAUUGCUUCAUUUCAGCAGUUCAUCGCUCAUGACUUCGAUGCCAGUGACCACGGCACUUCGAGCUUCCCGGUUGCUGCUGUUCACAGGAUCGGCAUAUUAGACAUCAGGAUUUUCAACACUGACAGGCAUGGUGGUAAUGUCCUGGUGAGGAAGCUUGAUGGAGGCACCGGCCGCUUUGGUUGCCAGACAGAGCUGUUCCCAAUUGAUCAUGGGCUGUGCUUGCCGGAGAACUUGGAGGACCCUUAUUUCGAGUGGAUACACUGGGCGCAGGCGUCAAUUCCGUUCUCCGAGGAAGAGCUCGAGUACAUAAGCAAACUUGAUCCGAUGAGGGAUGCUGCAAUGCUGCGGGGAGAACUGCCCAUGAUACGGGAGGCUUGCCUCCGAGUCCUUAUCCUGUGCACAAUCUUCCUCAAGGAAGCUGCUGCUUUCGGGCUUUGCUUGGCAGAGAUAGGGGAGAUGAUGACCAGGGAAUUCAGAGGAAUGGAGGAGGAACCCAGCAAACUGGAGGUUGUGUGCAUGGAAGCCAGGAGGAAAGUAGACGAAUGGGAACCCUUCUCCCCUAGUGUUGAAGAGGACAUGGAUUUCCAGUUCUCGAUGGAUGUGUUAGGAGGGUACAGUGAUGUGAUUCGAUCGCCAAGAUUCAAUUGCUCGGGCCUGAAGGGCAGCUUCAGAAAUCCUCUGACAAAGCUCGUGGAGAGCAUGAACGAGGACGGUGAUGAUGAAGAAGAUCGCAAGGAGCCUUCCAUGCACUCAUCUGAUCGGUUCUCAUCCGCUGACUUCAGCACGCCCAGUCUUCACAGAACCACCAGUUCAAAAACUAGUUCGAACAGCAGCGUGCACGCCCCGAACAGGAGCGCAGACGAGCAGCUCCCAUCGAGCUUGUGCUUUUUCAGGUUGUCGGACAUGAGCGCAGAGGAGUGGCACGUCUUCGUCGAGAAGUUCCAGGAGCUGCUGAAAGAAGCGCUGGAGGAAUGCAAGGCGGCCGGGGGGCAGCGGAUGAAGCAACGGCUGGGCACCUCCUGCAAAUUUUGA